Long non-coding RNA from Hevea brasiliensis (rubber tree), 813 nucleotides. RefSeq lists it as uncharacterized. Lineage: Eukaryota; Viridiplantae; Streptophyta; Magnoliopsida; Malpighiales; Euphorbiaceae. The record is from RefSeq and is a predicted model, not a curated record. The transcript is spliced from 2 exons.
CAUAUUUAUCCUAAAAACAUAAACUAUUUUCUCUCCUCCAUACAAGAUGUAUUUGACCACAGGAAUAUGAACAUUCUAUCCUUUCCUUCUUUUCUUUCUGUCUGUAGUUUUCUUCUCCAAUCUGUGACCCAUUCUUUCUCCUUCUUUCUUUGCAAUUGCUUCUUCUUCUUCUUCUUCUUCUUCUUCUUCUUCUUGACGUUUCAGCCUGCAAUUUUUUGCUUUCUUCUUCUUGUAUUUUAUUUUAUUUUUUUUAUCGAGUAUCUGAUUCGGUAAUAGGAGUCGAUCAAGUUCGUUGUCUCUAAACAUAAAAACACAAACGAUCAAGAAUUUUGCAAGAUUCCAUUUCUUUUUCGCCCGUUUGACAUUUUUUAAAUUUCUUUCUUCUUCUCGCCAGUGAGAAUGGGAGAAUAAAAAGGAAGCCUACACAACUGGAUUCUUGUUUUCUAAGAUGUUAGAGUGCGGUCACGGGACUCCUCCGACGGUGAUCUUAAUUUCAAGAUUUCUAUAUGAAGAUGGUGCCUUACAGAAAGAUGAAUACUCUGCUUCAGCUGACGGAAGACGAGACUCUUUAUAUAUUGUCUCAAUGGAACAUUCGGGUAGAGGAGUAUAGCAUUGAAGAUGGGUUUUGAGUGUGGGGAAAAUAAUGGUUUAGCAAUAGGAGCUGUGAUGGCAUUGAAAGAGAUGAACUGGUCUGCUGUGUGUUGAGCGAUGCGUGAAUAAAUGGGUGUAAGGGAAGCUAGUUUUUGGGUAAAAAAAGAGAGAUAGAUUUGACCUCAACAUGUAGGAGAGAUAAUACAGGAGAGAGAAUAUUUU